RNAcentral lists this long non-coding RNA (591 nucleotides) under Sorghum bicolor (sorghum). RNAcentral's name for it is "long non-coding RNA (SBIC_LNC015870)". The record is from RNAcentral. Lineage: Eukaryota; Viridiplantae; Streptophyta; Magnoliopsida; Poales; Poaceae.
AUGGUGUUAAAUUCCUACCACAAGCCAUAUAUGCUCUACAUGAUAGAAAUCCAGCACAUAGGCUGCUUGCUUGUGUUGAGAGUUGUAAACUCUUGUUGACCCUUGGUUUAGAGUUGUGUCAUGCUCAAUGAGAUCAAGAUCCACACCAUCCACAUAAAUCUGCUGCUCCAACACUGGGAGUAUGCAACAUUCCAUACCAUUCCAUUCCAUUCCACCAAAUAUAGAUUCUCCAUGCUCUAAGUGUAGAAUCUCUCUCUCUAAUAGCUAAAUGUUAGAUGAGACACAAAGCAAAGGCUAUAGAAAAAAUAAUCAUCUUGUUAGGAAGGACAUCAUCAAGUCCAUGAAAAAAACAGAAAAAUGCUAGCCUUGUCUCAAUAGAAAAAAAAUAGAGAGAGCACAAUCAAAUAAAGGAGCCAUCUAGCCAUCAUACUCAUACCACCUUUCCACAUAUAUAUCUUGAUCUGAAGCAUGACACUACUCUUCCUCCAAGGAUCCGAGGUUUGACUUCACAACAUAUGCAAUGUAAGUACGCCAUCCCCUUGUUUCUACCUUGAGCUCCACAUAAGCCUUUAUUAUAGUAGGAUUACAUAG